AUUCCGAAAGUAGCGGCGAGCGAAAUUGGACUAGCCCUUAAGCUUUACACGCGUUAGACGAACGGUCUGGAAAGUCCGACGAUACAGGGUGAUAGUCCCGUAGUUGACGACGUGUGUUCAGUGAAAUCGAGUAGGGCGGGACACGUGAUAUCCUGUCUGAAUAUGGGGGGACCAUCCUCCAAGGCUAAAUACUACUGACUGACCGAUAGUGAACCAGUACCGUGAGGGAAAGGCGAAAAGAACCCCUGUGAGGGGAGUGAAAUAGAACCUGAAACCGUGUACGUACAAGCAGUAGGAGCACCUUCGUGGUGUGACUGCGUACCUUUUGUAUAAUGGGUCAGCGACUUAUAUUCAGUGGCAAGGUUAACCAUCUAGGGGAGCCGUAGGGAAACCGAGUCUUAACUGGGCGUUCAGUCUCUGGAUAUAGACCCGAAACCAGGUGAUCUAGCCAUGGGCAGGUUGAAGGUUGAGUAACAUCAACUGGAGGACCGAACCGACUAAUGUUGAAAAAUUAGCGGAUGACUUGUGGCUAGGGGUGAAAGGCCAAUCAAACCUGGAGAUAGCUGGUUCUCCCCGAAAGCUAUUUAGGUAGCGCCUCGGACGAAUACUACUGGGGGUAGAGCACUGUUAAGGCUAGGGGGUCAUCCCGACUUACCAACCCUUUGCAAACUCCGAAUACCAGUAAGUACUAUCCGGGAGACACACGGCGGGUGCUAACGUCCGUCGUGGAGAGGGAAACAACCCAGACCGCCAGCUAAGGUCCCAAAUUACUACUAAGUGGGAAACGAUGUGGGAAGGCUCAGACAGCCAGGAUGUUGGCUUAGAAGCAGCCAUCAUUUAAAGAAAGCGUAAUAGCUCACUGGUCGAGUCGGCCUGCGCGGAAGAUGUAACGGGGCUAAGUAGUAAACCGAAGCUGCGGCAAUAUACUUUUGUAUAUUGGGUAGGGGAGCGUUCUGUAAGCGGUUGAAGGUGUGUGGUAACGCAUGCUGGACGUAUCAGAAGUGCGAAUGCUGACAUGAGUAACGAUAAAGGGGGUGAAAAACCUCCUCGCCGGAAGACCAAGGGUUCCUGUCCAACGUUAAUCGGGGCAGGGUAAGUCGACCCCUAAGGCGAGGCCGAAAGGCGUAGUCGAUGGGAAACGGGUUAAUAUUCCCGUACUUCUUACAAUUGCGAUGGGGGGACGGAGAAGGCUAGGUGGGCCUGGCGACGGUUGUCCAGGUUCAAGUGCGUAGGCUUAAGAGUUAGGUAAAUCCGGCUCUUUCUAAGGCUGAGACACGACGUCGAGCACCUACGGGUGUGAAGUCAUUGAUGCCAUGCUUCCAGGAAAAGCCUCUAAGCUUCAGAUUGUAAGGAAUCGUACCCCAAACCGACACAGGUGGUCGGGUAGAGAAUACCAAGGCGCUUGAGAGAACUCGGGUGAAGGAACUAGGCAAAAUGGUACCGUAA
This 1446-nucleotide ribosomal RNA is filed under the name Vibrio parahaemolyticus. RNAcentral describes it as "partial 23S ribosomal RNA". It matches the Rfam family "Bacterial large subunit ribosomal RNA", at positions 234 to 1733 of the family's 2925-position model. Lineage: Bacteria; Pseudomonadati; Pseudomonadota; Gammaproteobacteria; Vibrionales; Vibrionaceae. The record is from RNAcentral.